GGGUCGGUAGCUCAGGGGUAGAGCGUGGGACUGCAGAUCUUAAGGUCACGCGUUCAAAUCGCGUUCGACCCU
Molecule: transfer RNA, 72 nt
Organism: Aspergillus carbonarius ITEM 5010
Lineage: Eukaryota; Fungi; Ascomycota; Eurotiomycetes; Eurotiales; Aspergillaceae
Rfam family: tRNA
About the family: Transfer RNA (tRNA) molecules are approximately 80 nucleotides in length.
Source: Rfam